Molecule: ribosomal RNA, 345 nt
Filed under: uncultured bacterium
Lineage: Bacteria
Description: bacterial SSU rRNA
Rfam family: Bacterial small subunit ribosomal RNA
Source: RNAcentral
AAUCAACGCUGGCGGCGUGCCUCAGACAUGCAAGUCGAACGAUUAAAGCUCUCUUCGGAGAGUGUAUAGAGUGGCGCACGGGUGAGUAACACGUAAGUAAUCUACCUUCGAGUGGGAUAACGUCCGGAACGGACGCUAAUACCGCAUAAUGCAGCGGCAUCGCAAGAUGACAGUUGUUAAAGAAUUUAUUCGCUUGAAGAGGAGCUUGCGGCAGAUUAGCUAGUUGGUAAGGUAAUGGCUUACCAAGGCUACGAUCUGUAACCGGUCUAAGAGGACGGUCGGUCACACUGACACUGAAUAAACGGGUCAGACUCCUACGGGAGGCAGCAGUCGGGAAUUUUGGGC